RNAcentral lists this ribosomal RNA (761 nucleotides) under uncultured bacterium. RNAcentral's name for it is "bacterial SSU rRNA". It matches the Rfam family "Bacterial small subunit ribosomal RNA", at positions 731 to 1500 of the family's 1533-position model. The record is from RNAcentral.
UAAACCGCACUGACGCUCAUGCACGAAGGCGUGGGGAUCAAACAGGAUUAGAUACCCUGGUAGUCCACGCAGUAAACGAUGAUUACUAGCUGUUUGCGAUACAAUGUAAGCGGCUGAGCGAAAGCGUUAAGUAAUCCACCUGGGGAGUACGUUCGCAAGAAUGAAACUCAAAGGAAUUGACGGGGGCCCGCACAAGCGGAGGAACAUGUGGUUUAAUUCGAUGAUACGCGAGGAACCUUACCCGGGCUUGAAAUGCAUCUGACCGGGCCGGAAACGGUCUUUCCCAGCGAUGGGCAGAUGUGUAGGUGCUGCAUGGUUGUCGUCAGCUCGUGCCGUGAGGUGUCGGCUUAAGUGCCAUAACGAGCGCAACCCUCAUCGUCAGUUACCAUCGGGUAAAGCCGGGGACUCUGACGAGACUGCCAUCGUAAGAUGCGAGGAAGGUGGGGAUGACGUCAAAUCAGCACGGCCCUUAUGUCCGGGGCGACACACGUGUUACAAUGGGCGGUACAGCGGGGAGCUACCUGGCGACAGGGAGCCGAUCCCGAAAGCCGCUCACAGUUCGGAUCGGAGUCUGCAACUCGACUCCGUGAAGUCGGAUUCGCUAGUAAUCGCGCAUCAGCCACGGCGCGGUGAAUACGUUCCCGGGCCUUGUACACACCGCCCGUCAAGCCAUGGGAGUCGGGGGUACCUGAAGUUCGUAACCCUUCGGGGAGCGACCUAGGGUAAGACCGGUGACUGGGGCUAAGUCGUAACAAGGUAAC